AUUGAACGCUGGCGGAAUGCUUUACACAUGCAAGUCGAACGGCAGCACGGACUUCGGUCUGGUGGCGAGUGGCGGACGGGUGAGUAAUACAUCGGAACGUGCCCAAUCGUGGGGGAUAACGUAGCGAAAGCUACGCUAAUACCGCAUACGAUCUAAGGAUGAAAGCGGGGGAUCGCAAGACCUCGCGCGAUUGGAGCGGCCGAUGGCAGAUUAGGUAGUUGGUAGGGUAAAGGCCUACCAAGCCGACGAUCUGUAGCUGGUCUGAGAGGAUGAUGAGCCACACUGGGACUGAGACACGGCCCAGACUCCUACGGGAGGCAGCAGUGGGGAAUUUUGGACAAUGGACGCAAGUCUGAUCCAGCCAUUCCGCGUGCAGGAUGAAGGCUCUCGGGUUGUAAACUGCUUUUGUACAGAACGAAAAGGCUCUGGUUAAUACCUAGGGCUCAUGACGGUACUGUAAGAAUAAGCACCGGCUAACUACGUGCCAGCCGCCGCGGUAA
This 500-nucleotide ribosomal RNA is filed under the name uncultured bacterium. RNAcentral describes it as "partial 16S ribosomal RNA". It matches the Rfam family "Bacterial small subunit ribosomal RNA", at positions 30 to 523 of the family's 1533-position model. The record is from RNAcentral.